Molecule: ribosomal RNA, 465 nt
Filed under: Vreelandella stevensii
Lineage: Bacteria; Pseudomonadati; Pseudomonadota; Gammaproteobacteria; Oceanospirillales; Halomonadaceae
Description: partial 16S ribosomal RNA
Rfam family: Bacterial small subunit ribosomal RNA
Source: RNAcentral
CCUACGGGGGGCUGCAGUGGGGAAUAUUGGACAAUGGGGGGAACCCUGAUCCAGCCAUGCCGCGUGUGUGAAGAAGGCCCUCGGGUUGUAAAGCACUUUCAGUGAGGAAGAACGCCUGGUGGUUAAAACCCAUCAGGAAAGACAUCACUCACAGAAGAAGCACCGGCUAACUCCGUGCCAGCAGCCGCGGUAAUACGGAGGGUGCGAGCGUUAAUCGGAAUUACUGGGCGUAAAGCGCGCGUAGGUGGCUUGAUAAGCCGGUUGUGAAAGCCCCGGGCUCAACCUGGGAACGGCAUCCGGAACUGUCAAGCUAGAGUGCAGGAGAGGAAGGUAGAAUUCCCGGUGUAGCGGUGAAAUGCGUAGAGAUCGGGAGGAAUACCAGUGGCGAAGGCGGCCUUCUGGACUGACACUGACACUGAGGUGCGAAAGCGUGGGUAGCAAACAGGAUUAGAUACCCUGGUAGUC